UUGUGAGGUAGAGGUGCGAUAUUUAUUAGUUUUUCAUGGAGUUUGAGCGAACAAUGAAAUGAAAAAGAAGGAAAUAUUGCCGAAGUGUGAAGUUUCUGCUCGGGACUUUAUGCUGGGUCUGCAGUGAAUAAUUGCAGGACUGUCUCAAGUUGUUUUCCCAAACGACUUGAGUUGUGCUAUCUCAAUC
Molecule: non-coding RNA, 187 nt
Filed under: Ureibacillus massiliensis
Lineage: Bacteria; Bacillati; Bacillota; Bacilli; Caryophanales; Caryophanaceae
Also listed under: 1 other name
Description: Lysinibacillus massiliensis Lysine sequence
Rfam family: Lysine riboswitch aptamer
About the family: Riboswitches are metabolite binding domains within certain messenger RNAs that serve as precision sensors for their corresponding targets.
Source: RNAcentral